This 539-nucleotide ribosomal RNA is filed under the name uncultured Bacillus sp. RNAcentral describes it as "bacterial SSU rRNA". It matches the Rfam family "Bacterial small subunit ribosomal RNA", at positions 348 to 878 of the family's 1533-position model. The record is from RNAcentral. Lineage: Bacteria; Bacillati; Bacillota; Bacilli; Caryophanales; Bacillaceae.
GCACAGGAGGGAAUCUUCCGCAAUGGACGAAAGUCUGACGGAGCAACGCCGCGUGAGUGAUGAAGGCUUUCGGGUCGUAAAACUCUGUUGUUAGGGAAGAACAAGUGCUAGUUGAAUAAGCUGGCACCUUGACGGUACCUAACCAGAAAGCCACGGCUAACUACGUGCCAGCAGCCGCGGUAAUACGUAGGUGGCAAGCGUUAUCCGGAAUUAUUGGGCGUAAAGCGCGCGCAGGUGGUUUCUUAAGUCUGAUGUGAAAGCCCACGGCUCAACCGUGGAGGGUCAUUGGAAACUGGGAGACUUGAGUGCAGAAGAGGAAAGUGGAAUUCCAUGUGUAGCGGUGAAAUGCGUAGAGAUAUGGAGGAACACCAGUGGCGAAGGCGACUUUCUGGUCUGUAACUGACACUGAGGCGCGAAAGCGUGGGGAGCAAACAGGAUUAGAUACCCUGGUAGUCCACGCCGUAAACGAUGAGUGCUAAGUGUUAGAGGGUUUCCGCCCUUUAGUGCUGAAGUUAACGCAUUAAGCACUCCGCCUGGAG